CNANCUCAGAUCGGNCGAGAUUACCCGCUGAAUUUAAGCAUAUCACUAAGCGGAGGAAAAGAAACUAACNNGGAUUCCCUCAGUAACGGNGAGUGAAGCGGGAUCAGCCCAGCACCGAAUCCCCCAGUCUUUGGCUGGCGGNAACUGUGGUGUAUGGGACGCCAACUGUCGUCCGACCGGGGACCGAAGUCCUCCUGAUCGGGGCCUCUCCCACAGCGGGUGUCAGGCCUUUACUGGUGCCUGGUCGGUCGGCUGCGAGCGUCUCUCGAGUCGGGUUGUUUGGGAAUGCAGCCCUAAGAGGGUGG
This 305-nucleotide ribosomal RNA is filed under the name Littorina littorea. RNAcentral's name for it is "partial 28S ribosomal RNA". It matches the Rfam family "Eukaryotic large subunit ribosomal RNA", at positions 1 to 299 of the family's 3401-position model. The record is from RNAcentral. Lineage: Eukaryota; Metazoa; Mollusca; Gastropoda; Littorinimorpha; Littorinidae.